UACGUAGGCAGCAAGCGUUGUUCGGAGUUACUGGGCGUAAAGGGUGUGUAGGCGGUUCUUUAAGUUUGGCGUGAAAUCUCCCGGCUCAACUGGGAGGGUGCGCCGAAUACUGAGGGACUAGAGUACGGGAGAGGAAAGUGGAAUUCCAGGUGUAGCGGUGAAAUGCGUAGAUAUCUGGAGGAACACCCGUGGUGCAGACGGCUUGCUGGACCAUGACUGACGCUGAGGCACGAAAGCGUGGGUAGCAAACAGG
This 253-nucleotide ribosomal RNA is filed under the name uncultured bacterium. RNAcentral describes it as "partial 16S ribosomal RNA". It matches the Rfam family "Bacterial small subunit ribosomal RNA", at positions 524 to 776 of the family's 1533-position model. The record is from RNAcentral.